This 500-nucleotide ribosomal RNA is filed under the name uncultured bacterium. Its description in RNAcentral is "partial 16S ribosomal RNA". It matches the Rfam family "Bacterial small subunit ribosomal RNA", at positions 30 to 523 of the family's 1533-position model. The record is from RNAcentral.
AUUGAACGCUGGCGGCAUGCCUUACACAUGCAAGUCGAACGGCAGCACGGGAGCAAUCCUGGUGGCGAGUGGCGAACGGGUGAGUAAUAUAUCGGAACGUGCCCAGUCGUGGGGGAUAACGCAGCGAAAGCUGUGCUAAUACCCCAUACGAUCUACGGAUGAAAGCGGGGGAUUGCAAGACCUCGCGCGAUUGGAGCGGCCGAUAGCAGAUUAGCUAGUUGGUGAGGUAAAGGCUCACCAAGGCGACAAUCUGUAGCUGGUCUGAGAGGACGACCAGCCACACUGGAACUGAGACACGGUCCAGACUCCUACGGGAGGCAGCAGUGGGGAAUUUUGGACAAUGGGCGAAAGCCUGAACCAGCAAUGCCGCGUGCAGGAUGAAGGCCUUCGGGUUGUAAACUGCUUUUGUACGGAACGAAACGGUGAGCUCUAAUAAAGUUUGCAAAUGACGGUACCGUAAGAAUAAGCACCGGCUAACUACGUGCCAGCCGCCGCCGUAA